RNAcentral lists this transfer RNA (75 nucleotides) under Methanohalobium evestigatum Z-7303. RNAcentral's name for it is "tRNA-Pro (GGG) (tRNA-Pro-GGG-1-1)". It matches the Rfam family "tRNA". From Rfam's summary of the family: Transfer RNA (tRNA) molecules are approximately 80 nucleotides in length. Their secondary structure includes four short double-helical elements and three loops (D, anti-codon, and T loops). Lineage: Archaea; Methanobacteriati; Methanobacteriota; Methanomicrobia; Methanosarcinales; Methanosarcinaceae. The record is from RNAcentral.
GGGGCCGUAGGGUAGCCUGGACCAUCCUUCAAGGCUGGGGGUCUUGUGACCGGAGUUCAAAUCUCCGCGGCCCCA